GAAUAUUGGGCAAUGGGCGAAAGCCUGACCCAGCAACGCCGCGUGAAGGAAGAAGGUUUUCGGAUUGUAAACUUCUGUCCUCAGGGAAGAAGGAAGUGACGGUACCCGAGGAGGAAGCCCCGGCUAACUACGUGCCAGCAGCCGCGGUAAUACGUAGGGGGCGAGCGUUGUCCGGAAUGAAUGGGCGUAAAGGGCGCGUAGACGGCUUUUUAAGUCUGGAGUGAAAGUCCUGCUUUCAAGGUGGGAAUUGCUUUGGAGACUGGAAGGCUUGAGUGCGGAAGAGGUAAGUGGAAUUCCCAGUGUAGCGGUGAAAUGCGUAGAGAUUGGGAAGAACACCAGUGGCGAAGGCGACUUACUGGGCCGUAACUGACGUUGAUGCGCGAAAGCGUGGGGAGCGAACAG
This 402-nucleotide ribosomal RNA is filed under the name uncultured bacterium. RNAcentral's name for it is "bacterial SSU rRNA". It matches the Rfam family "Bacterial small subunit ribosomal RNA", at positions 359 to 775 of the family's 1533-position model. The record is from RNAcentral.